Molecule: ribosomal RNA, 460 nt
Filed under: uncultured bacterium
Lineage: Bacteria
Description: partial 16S ribosomal RNA
Rfam family: Bacterial small subunit ribosomal RNA
Source: RNAcentral
CCUACGGGCGGCAGCAGUGAGGAAUAUUGGUCAAUGGACGCGAGCCUGAACCAGCCAUGCCGCGUGCAGGAAGACGGCCCUAUGAGUUGUAAACUGCUUUUGUCGGAGAGUAAACGCAGAUACGCGUAUCUGUCUGCAAGUAUCGUACGAAUAAGGAUCGGCUAACUCCGUGCCAGCAGCCGCGGUAAUACGGAGGAUUCAAGCGUUAUCCGGAUUUAUUGGGGUUAAAGGGUGCGUAGGCGGUCGGGUAAGUUAGAGGUGAAAUUCCGCGGCUCAACUUCGGAAUUGCCUUUGAUACGGUCAGGCUGGAGAGGAGUUGAGGUAGGCGGAAUGUAUGGUGUAGCGGUGAAAUGCUUAGAGAUCACACAGAACACCGAUUGCGAAGGCAGCGUACCAAGCUACGUCUGACGUUGAGGCACGAAAGCGUGGGGAGCAAACAGGAUUAGAUACCCGAGUAGUC